CCUGCCUUGGAGUGGGGAAUAACAGCUGGAAACAGCUGCUAAUACCGCAUGAUGCAGUUGGGUCGCAUGGCUCUGACUGCCAAAGAUUUAUCGCUCUGAGAUGGACUCGCGUCUGAUUAGCUAGUUGGCGGGGCAACGGCCCACCAAGGCGACGAUCAGUAGCCGGACUGAGAGGUUGGCCGGCCACAUUGGGACUGAGACACGGCCCAGACUCCUACGGAAGGCAGCAG
RNAcentral lists this ribosomal RNA (230 nucleotides) under uncultured bacterium. RNAcentral's name for it is "partial 16S ribosomal RNA". It matches the Rfam family "Bacterial small subunit ribosomal RNA", at positions 125 to 354 of the family's 1533-position model. The record is from RNAcentral.